CCAGGCUUUGUGAAUCCCAGGCUGAAGUUUGGUUGAGUCACAGGAGGGUAAAUAAGGAUGUUUCGGAGACAAAGAGACUCUUAAAGGGGCAGCGCGGGACGUGGCGCGUUCCCGCGGGUCCCCUGAGGUGGCUGCGGGGCGUGGGAGAUGCCCCACGGGGCCCCUGAGUGCAGGAGCCAUGAGGGGAUGAAAACGCAUUUUAUUAGAGACAAAGGGUCUCAGCACUGGGGCCGGGGGGAGAUGCCUGUCACCAGCAAGGGGCAGCCAUGCUUGGGAGUCACCCACACCCACUGGGACAACUCACUGGGACAACUCACAGUUCAGAGGGACCAUCAGGGACCUGCCAGGGAGUGCUGAGUCCUGCUCUCCGGGCAGCGCUGAGCCAGGACAAGGCUGCAAGCAAGGCGUUGUGGACUAUGCAGCACUGAUGACAUGAAGCACAGACUCUUCAAGACUCCUGUAUUGGCAAGGAACCAAGGAUAUUUCUGCAAGCAAGAUGCACACCGCUUCUUCACAAGGAACCCACUGUCCUUUUUGCAAAUCUCCCUUUUUAAAAACGUCCUUAGACCUUCUCUACACCUACCCUUUGUGUCUGGGACACGAGCUGCAAAGCCAGAACCCUGCUACCCAGGAACCAUGAAGGA
This is a long non-coding RNA of Falco peregrinus (peregrine falcon), 644 nucleotides long. RefSeq lists it as uncharacterized. The transcript has 3 exons. The record is from RefSeq and is a predicted model, not a curated record. NCBI's taxonomy places the organism in Eukaryota, Metazoa, Chordata, Aves, Falconiformes, Falconidae.